CCACCGCACCCCUGAAGCCACCGCACCCCCCCCAGACCACCGCACCCCCGCGGCCAUCGCACCCCCGAGGCCACCGCACUCCCCGGGCACAGCAGUGACCGUGGCCGCAUCCCCGGGGAACGCUGCGGAACGAGCGGCGCUGGAUCGCCACGGGAGGAAGAAGCCGCUCUCCCCCCGCCGCUCUCGACUGGGACCGGGGCCCUGCUCGGGUCGCUCAUCCGACACCUGCCGGAGAAGAAUGGACUCUCUGUCCUCAGAGGGAAACACAACCUAAUGGGACACAGCUCUGGCACCACAUUUCCUCUUGUUCCUGCUGUCCUGGAAAGGCACAGGCUGUCCAAACCCUGGUUGCUGCAGUCCCCAACGCCUGAGACAGAGAGAGCCCUGGUCAGAGUGGCCAGUGUCACUUCAAAAGAAAGGAAAUGCACCAAACUUACUGUGGGGCAGGAACUACUCUGUGCUUUCUUCAGUUUUAAAAUUGUUAGUAAAUUCCUGAUGUGUAAUUACUUAAUGCUGCCUAUAAAGAGAGAUUUUCCUCACCGCUAUUUAUGGAUUGUUAUAUACAAAUGCACAUAACUUUAUGAAGGAAAUCAGGAAGUAAAAACCAACACCCUCUGCUACAUUAGAUUAUUAUAUUUUUGUGGCCAUUUAUUCUGUGGUAAACCUGCCUUUCCCAGUGUGCUUUGGGGUUUCAGCUAUUUAGGAGUAAUUUCAGCCAACUCUUUGCAGUGAAAAUAUGAAGGUGGGGUCAAGUGACCAGUACCCUG
Molecule: long non-coding RNA, 767 nt
Filed under: Parus major (Great Tit)
Lineage: Eukaryota; Metazoa; Chordata; Aves; Passeriformes; Paridae
Description: lncRNA (ENSPMJG00000006681.1)
Source: RNAcentral